CGCCGCGCCCGCUGCGCGGUGUCUUUUUUCCACUGCAACAAGGGGUCUGCCCGUG
This is a non-coding RNA of Pantoea dispersa, 55 nucleotides long. The record is from Rfam. Lineage: Bacteria; Pseudomonadati; Pseudomonadota; Gammaproteobacteria; Enterobacterales; Erwiniaceae.